Molecule: non-coding RNA, 119 nt
Filed under: Bradyrhizobium daqingense
Lineage: Bacteria; Pseudomonadati; Pseudomonadota; Alphaproteobacteria; Hyphomicrobiales; Nitrobacteraceae
Source: RNAcentral
GGGAGUUUGGCCUCCCGGAGCCGGCCUUCAGGGGCAGGCUUAAACCACCUCAUGCUGCCGCGUUCAAAAGGCGCGGUGGUGAGCGAUGAGGAAAAAGGCGGUGAAUGAAACCGUCAGGU